Molecule: long non-coding RNA, 1568 nt
Organism: Trifolium pratense (red clover)
Lineage: Eukaryota; Viridiplantae; Streptophyta; Magnoliopsida; Fabales; Fabaceae
Exons: 9
Source: RefSeq, a predicted model, not a curated record
UCAAUGAAACCAUAGGUACAAACAAUGAUUGUCUUUAGAGAAGUACUCCACCACUAAAGACAAUCAUUUUUUAUAUUUACAAUUUACAAGUUAUUCAUUUAAUGUUUUAUAUUCUUAAUAUUGUAUGCUCAUUCCUCUUUUAUACAACAAAUAUAUUAUUAUUCAACUUUAUGUUGGUAUCAGAGCCUGUUUAAUUCACGAACCUGUGGGUUAUUGAUGCCAUCUUUUCCUUGCUUGUAGUGAACUGGAGUUGCUUUUAAUGCCUAGAAAUUCUUGAGAUAAUCCUCUGGUUCAGUGGCCAACUCUUUCUACUCGCAAGCAAGUUGGCGAGCUCAAUUGAGUAAUAAUGGUUCAAACCCUUCCUUGUUUAGAGCAGUCUAUAAUGCAUCUGGAUGGCCAUAGCCUUGGGUUAUCGAAGCUUUGCCCAGUAUACUUCAAAAGAUGACCGGGAAGACAAAUAUAUGGCCACUCUGAUUUGCUUAAUGAGUUGAUCAAACCCGCUUUUAGGGCCGAUCCUGAUCUCAAACCUAAAUUGAAUAAUAUCAUCAUACAACAACUUAACGAUGCUGCUGGUGAUUUUUCUGGACUUGCUUUAAAAUGCCUUUCUCCGUUAGUGAGGAAGAUGAAUGAGUCAAGGGUUGUCGAAAUGUGCAGUCAACUGUGUGACAAAAUACUAAGCAGGACACUGGGACACUGCUGCUAGCAUUGCUUUGAGGACAGUUGUUGCUGAAGUUUCUACCCAAUCCCUUGCGCAUUCUAUUCUCACCACAAUUGAUAAAAGGAAUUACCGGCAAAGAUAUGAGCACUGAGAUUAAAUGUAAAUGCCUGGAUAUUUUAUGUGAUGCCCUUCAGAUGAUUAGCUCAUUGUUCUCGAGGGACUUCAUUCUUCUCGAAGAACCAUUCGGCCACAGCGAUCCAGCCAACAGGGUCGGUUCCCAUGAAAUUUGGUAAUUGCUUCUUCAUAGUCCAAACGUCCUCCAUCACUGGCUCCUCGCUGGUUCGAAUCCGGUAGGUCGGACCAAUUAAUAGUGCUGCCCUCCCCUCAAGUAUAGGAGGAAUUCAAACAGUUUUAAUUAAAGUUGCAUGUGCCAAUUCUUGUUUCCAUUCAUCAGUUUGUGCUAUUAGGAAGCAAAGGUAAGAAGAAAAACUCAUCUUUUAUUUCCCUCUGUUUGGCUGAACCCUUAACCCCUUCAUAAAUUCAAUCAUUAUUAUUAUUUUGGCACUUAAUUGCAUGUGAGGUUUUGUGGAGAAAGAAGCACCGAAUAAUUAUUCUGGAGCUGCAAAUCAAGGAACAUGAGUUAGUAGAAGGGUUGGAAUUUUGGAUCAAGUAUGGUAAUUGGCAUCUUUGUUGCAUUUCAUAUGAGAUAAACAAGUCGAUCAAGAUAAGGGUAAGAACUAAGAAGUAAGUUGGCGAACGGAGUUGUGCACGUGUUCUUUGACGGACUCCUAUUAGUUUAUUUUCUUCCUUAUUUUGUAUAGAUUGAACUAUUUGAAUUAUGUAGCGAUUAUUUCCGCUGUUUGUAUUUGAAUAAUUGUUGGUGAUAGUGUACCAUGCAAAUUCAGACGAA